GUUCUAUACCUCAGGGUGGAACGGGUGACAGGUAUCUGGGCGCCUCCUGUCCUUUUGCAUCUUAAGUCUCUCACAUUUCAGAGACUCGAUAUACAUGAUUUCAACAGGAUCCAUGGUGAUUGGCUCAAACAUGCUGCAAUCGCACUUAUUGUCCACCACCACCAUGAAGAGAUUACUGCUGGGGAUCUGCUGAAUUACAAAGGACCUGCCAAUCACAGACAGAGACAUAACCCUCAGAAAUAAUCGCACUGAAGAGCGAUUCGACUGGAUGCAACAUUCAUUGCCAGCUGUCGAUCAAAAUGCAGAGACGGGAGGACACAUCAUUAUCCUCGAUUUAUCCUCUUCUACUUUUCUCUUUUACUCAAUCCAAGGUGCGUUGCAAUAACAUAAAACAUAUUGAAGGAGAUUGAACACUUGCUCAUUGCUUCAUGGCUCCCUUUUUACCGACUGGCCGGCUUGCCUCAGCAAGCAAAUCAGACGGAUCAUCUCUUUGUCAUCUUCUCUUUUUGUCUUUCUCCCUCGC
Long non-coding RNA from Syngnathus acus (greater pipefish), 523 nucleotides. RefSeq lists it as uncharacterized. NCBI's taxonomy places the organism in Eukaryota, Metazoa, Chordata, Actinopteri, Syngnathiformes, Syngnathidae. The record is from RefSeq and is a predicted model, not a curated record. The transcript has 3 exons.